GGCGCAGCUUGGUUAGCGCGCUUGACUGGGGGUCAAGAGGCCGGAGGUUCAAAUCCUCUC
RNAcentral lists this transfer RNA (60 nucleotides) under Acidimicrobiaceae bacterium. RNAcentral's name for it is "tRNA-Pro". It matches the Rfam family "tRNA", at positions 9 to 64 of the family's 71-position model. From Rfam's summary of the family: Transfer RNA (tRNA) molecules are approximately 80 nucleotides in length. Their secondary structure includes four short double-helical elements and three loops (D, anti-codon, and T loops). Lineage: Bacteria; Bacillati; Actinomycetota; Acidimicrobiia; Acidimicrobiales; Acidimicrobiaceae. The record is from RNAcentral.